CAGUCGCCGCGGGAAAACAGAGGUCCCGAGCGUUGUUCGGAUUCACUGGGCGUAAAGGGUGUGUAGGAGGUUGGAUAAGUCAGGUGUGAAAUCCCACAGCUUAACUGUGGAACUGCAUUCGAUACUGUCUGACUAGAGGAUCGGAGGGGGAAGCGGAAUUCUUGGUGUAACGGUGAAAUGCGUAGAUAUCAAGAGGAACACCGGUGGCGAAGGCGGCUUCCUGGACGAUUCCUGACUCUGAAACACGAAAGCCAGGGGAGCGAAUGGGAUUAGAUACCCCGGUAGUCCCUGUCUCUUAUAA
This 301-nucleotide ribosomal RNA is filed under the name uncultured bacterium. RNAcentral's name for it is "partial 16S ribosomal RNA". It matches the Rfam family "Bacterial small subunit ribosomal RNA", at positions 509 to 809 of the family's 1533-position model. The record is from RNAcentral.